GAGGGGCCUUGUUCAAGAGUCCCCCCACUUCAUAUAUAUAUAUAUAAACAACAAACAUAUUAAAAAUGAACACCCUGGUAUAAGUUAUAACCAUUCAUUUGCCUACUCUUCGCUUAUCUCUAAGACUUGCAUAGUCUCUCUGUUUUUCCAUAAUAUAUAUAACUACACACUACUAACAAACGUACCCCAUGUCUUGGAUAAUCUCCAAAAAGCCAAACAAUCUCACAGAAGCUGAAGCUGACGUUAAUACUACAUACAAGCCGCCCAUAAAAAAAGAUGAAGGAGAAAAUAAUAAUAAGAGCAUAAGCAGCCAUUUGUACUUGAAGCCCGUUCACACCUCAGGAACACUAGACAAACAAGUCGUCCUCCGCCGCAUUCGCCACCACAAGCGCGUUAACAACCUCCGAACUAUAGCCAAUUCUCUCCUCGGCUCUCUCUUCCCUUCCAAAAAGACUAAGGAAUAUCAUAAUAACACCGUCGUUAAAGUCGACGAGACGACGAGGUGGAUCGAUAACGCUUUUGCGGCUCCUUAGUUAUUCGCCGGUGGGUUGGUGUUUGUAAAUAUGUUUGUUUGGUAAGAUGUCCCUUAAUUUCUCUAUAAUUUUAUAAAUAAAAUUUAUUGGUUAUUGAAUUAAGAAUUUCUUAUGUGAAUAAGUCAUGUAAUUCAAAAUAAAGGGUAAUUAAAUCUUUUAAGGAUUUAUAUCAUCUAUAUUGGCUUUGAUUUUUCUUUUUUAACACUAAUAACGUGAAUACAAUUUUAUGUGUUUUCAAAAAUAUUCAAGGUCUUCUAUCAAUCCAAG
RNAcentral lists this long non-coding RNA (800 nucleotides) under Panax ginseng (ginseng). RNAcentral's name for it is "long non-coding RNA (PGIN_LNC015442)". Lineage: Eukaryota; Viridiplantae; Streptophyta; Magnoliopsida; Apiales; Araliaceae. The record is from RNAcentral.